AUGAGUAGCUUAUACAUUAUAGAUAGAGGUUUACUAAUGUCUUUUUGAGCGGUAAUUAUUGAUUCCCACGGGGUUUCCCAGUGGUGUAACUAGUUGUUACUGGGCCCCAUAGCAAAUUCAAUUUAGGGCCCCAAAAUAUUUAUAAGUUGGCCUAUUUUACCAAGAUAUAUUAAAAUUGCAAACUAAUUAGGGUCUCACUGGGCCCCCUACACUCCUGGGCCCCCCUGCAACCGCAGGGUCUGCUUCCUCUAUAGUUACGCCCCUGGGGUUUCCGAUCUCUCCCAAUCUGAGCUCAAUCUAGAAUGUAUAAACCAUUGCAGUUGAGUAUAGUUCCAGCUCUGGGGUGUGAACCCCAUCUUUUUUGUUUCUAAUUAGGUCUCUUAUUUUGGUAGUUUUAGUGCACCAGUUCUCCCAUCUACUAAAGGCCCUGUACUCCAUACUUGGCUGGAACUCCGGAUUCUGUACUAAAGUUUGUAAUAUAUAUGGGGCUUUUGUUAACCCUUAUUCUAAUUUGUUUUUAUGCCAUAUUUUCAAAGUAGUGCCUACUAAGGUUGUAAUUGUUCAAUUGCCAUUUUGUCUCUCUCUGUCCAUAGAUUAUGGUCAAUGGGGUAUCCUACUAUAUCUUUCUCUAUUCACACCAUCUGUUGACUUAUUUCUGUUGCACCAAUCCCAAAUUCGUAAUAAGUGGACCUCUAUAUAAUAAAGGAAUAAAUCCCUUUUGGUCAGUAUGUAUUAAUUCCGGUUGCUGCCCAUGGCGAUCAAAUUCCCUCUAAGAACACAUUUCAGCGUUUCCCUGCCGACAUUUUUUUAAUUUCCCUCAGUCCUCUAUACGAUAUAGAUGACUUUUGGGAGGAUGAAUCUGAAAGUGGAUUAAGGGGCCAAUUCAUUAACUUCGAGUGAAGGAAUAGAAGAAAAAAUACUUCGAAUUUUGAAGUUUUUUUUGGCUACUUCGACCAUCGAAUGGGCUACUUCGACCUUC
Long non-coding RNA from Xenopus laevis (African clawed frog), 979 nucleotides. RefSeq lists it as uncharacterized. The transcript has 3 exons. The record is from RefSeq and is a predicted model, not a curated record. NCBI's taxonomy places the organism in Eukaryota, Metazoa, Chordata, Amphibia, Anura, Pipidae.